UAAUUGAAGCCAAAAAGAGGCCUAUCACUGUUAAUGAUAAAAUUGAGCUCAAGCUCCAAUUAAG
RNAcentral lists this transfer RNA (64 nucleotides) under Drosophila paramelanica. RNAcentral describes it as "tRNA-Asn". The record is from RNAcentral. Lineage: Eukaryota; Metazoa; Arthropoda; Insecta; Diptera; Drosophilidae.